GACGAACGCUGGCGGCGUGCUUAACACAUGCAAGUCGAACGGAAAGGCCCUGCUUUUGUGGGGUGCUCGAGUGGCGAACGGGUGAGUAACACGUGAGUAACCUGCCCUUGACUUUGGGAUAACUUCAGGAAACUGGGGCUACUACCGGAUAGGAGCUCCUGCUGCAUGGUGGGGGUUGGAAAGUUUCGGCGGUUGGGGAUGGACUCGCGGCUUAUCAGCUUGUUGGUGGGGUAGUGGCUUACCAAGGCUUUGACGGGUGGCCGGCCUGAGAGGGUGACCGGCCACAUUGGGACUGAGAUACGGCCCAGACGCCUACGGGAGGCAGCAGUGGGGAAUAUUGCACAAUGGGCGGAAGCCUGAUGCAGCAACGCCGCGUGCGGGAUGACGGCCUUCGGGUUGUAAACCGCUUUCGCCUGUGACGAAGCGUGAGUGACGGUAAUGGGUAAAGAAGCACCGGCUAACUACGUG
Molecule: ribosomal RNA, 468 nt
Filed under: uncultured bacterium
Lineage: Bacteria
Description: partial 16S ribosomal RNA
Rfam family: Bacterial small subunit ribosomal RNA
Source: RNAcentral